CGCGAGGAGCGGCACGCCAACGUGCGCCGUUUGAACUGGUUAAGAUAUAACUUAGCGCAAUCGGUACGUGUUUUUUGAGGAAGACAGCUGUUGGUAACCAUGAAGGAAUACCUGUUGACAGUGGCAUCUGUGAUUGGAUCUUUGGCUGUGGUUCUUGCAUUUGUUGCUCUUGGCUGGUACAUCGUCUGGAAGUGUUUCCUGUCGCGCUUCAAGUUCGUUCGCGAGAUGCUGGACGCCGGCCGAGAGCCCUCACCGGAGGCGGCCGAGCUGCGCCGGGUUCGGCAACGGACCAGCCGGCGACUGCGCCGCGAGUGACGCCGACCAUGCUGCCAUCUGGCCGCCGAGCCGUCAACCUAGGAUGACAUUGGCGGCCGCCGAAAGCCCGGCGGUCGCCGCGCCCACGACUUGUGGACCCUGCGCGGACUGCU
Long non-coding RNA from Pollicipes pollicipes, 428 nucleotides. RefSeq lists it as uncharacterized. Lineage: Eukaryota; Metazoa; Arthropoda; Thecostraca; Pollicipedomorpha; Pollicipedidae. The record is from RefSeq and is a predicted model, not a curated record. The transcript has 3 exons.